Molecule: ribosomal RNA, 440 nt
Filed under: uncultured bacterium
Lineage: Bacteria
Description: partial 16S ribosomal RNA
Rfam family: Bacterial small subunit ribosomal RNA
Source: RNAcentral
CCUACGGGAGGCAGCAGUGGGGAAUAUUGGACAAUGGGGGGAACCCUGAUCCAGCGACGCCGCGUGCGUGAAGAAGUAUUUCGGUAUGUAAAGCUCUAUCAGCAGGGAAGAAAAUGACGGUACCUGACUAAGAAGCUCCGGCUAACUACGUGCCAGCAGCCGCGGUAAGACGUAGGGGGCAAGCGUUAUCCGGAUUUACUGGGUGUAAAGGGAGCGUAGACGGUGCAGCAAGUCUGAUGUGAAAGGUCGGGGCCCAACCCCGGGACUGCGUUGGAAACUGUUGAACUGGAGUACGGGAGAGGUAAGCGGAAUUCCUGGUGUAGCGGUGAAAUGCGUAGAUAUUAGGAAGAACACCAGUGGCGAAGGCAGCUUACUGGACUGUAACUGACGUUGAGGCUCGAAGGCGUGGGGAGCAAACAGGAUUAGAUACCCGAGUAGUC